AAAGCAAUUGGUAAUGGAGUUUACCAUCCAAUCUUUUGGAAAACCCUUCUUCUUUAAGAAGUGAUAACUCCUACGACAAC
Molecule: non-coding RNA, 80 nt
Filed under: Candidatus Methylacidiphilum fumarolicum
Lineage: Bacteria; Pseudomonadati; Verrucomicrobiota; Methylacidiphilae; Methylacidiphilales; Methylacidiphilaceae
Also listed under: 1 other name
Description: Methylacidiphilum fumariolicum Fluoride sequence
Rfam family: Fluoride riboswitch aptamer (crcB RNA motif)
Source: RNAcentral